AGGUCAGGAAGAUAUUUUCCUAUAUUUUCUGCUACUAAGUUUCUAGACCUUCUGUUAGAUCUUCACUCCAUCUUGAGUUUACCCUGGCUUCAAGGGCACUUAACAUUCCCAUCGACCCAGCCAGCCACCUUGCUAUGUUCAAGAAAAACAACUCAAAAGGUACAUUUUUAUUUCAUACUCCCUCCCAAGAGUGACAUGCCAAUAACCCAUCCCCUAAUAAACUGUACAUGUUUAGAAUACAGAAUAAAAGUGAAAUCCAACCAAUCCUGAUGAGGAAAAAAUUAAUUUCACAAAGCUGAAAAAUCUGUUACAAAGUCUCUGUUGUAUAAAUAUAGUCCAUCUUAUCUUUAAUAUAGAGUUAGACCCCCCAAAAUGUUUUGUUGGCAUAAGAAAUCCUCUGGUCCUUAGAUAUACCACAAUCGUAUUUGUAUUCCCAGGUGAAUGUAGGUGUCGAUUAUGGAAUGAAAGUUACUUAUGUGUCCCAGGACUCUAGGUAACUAAAUGAGAUUUAAAUAUUUUAUAUCUCAAACCUGCACCAUCUCCCUCAAUAUCUGUACAAACCACUCUA
This is a long non-coding RNA of Cavia porcellus (domestic guinea pig), 568 nucleotides long. RefSeq lists it as uncharacterized. The record is from RefSeq and is a predicted model, not a curated record. NCBI's taxonomy places the organism in Eukaryota, Metazoa, Chordata, Mammalia, Rodentia, Caviidae. The transcript is spliced from 2 exons.